GGGAGGCAGCAGUGGGGAAUAUUGCACAAUGGGGGAAACCCUGAUGCAGCAACGCCGCAUGAGUGAUGACGGCCUUCGGGUUGUAAAGCUCUGUCUUCAGGGACGAUAAUGACGGUACCUGAGGAGGAAGCCACGGCUAACUACGUGCCAGCAGCCGCGGUAAUACGUAGGUGGCGAGCGUUGUCCGGAUUUACUGGGCGUAAAGGGAGCGUAGGCGGACUUUUAAUUGAGAUGUGAAAUACCCGGGCUCAACUUGGGUGCUGCAUUUCAAACUGGAAGUCUAGAGUGCGGGAGAGGAGAAUGGAAUUCCUAGUGUAGCGGUGAAAUGCGUAGAGAUUAGGAAGAACACCAGUGGCGAAGGCGAUUCUCUGGACUGUAACUGACGCUGAGGCUCGAAAG
Molecule: ribosomal RNA, 399 nt
Filed under: uncultured bacterium
Lineage: Bacteria
Description: bacterial SSU rRNA
Rfam family: Bacterial small subunit ribosomal RNA
Source: RNAcentral